UCAAACUCUCAUUGAUGGCUCCUUCACAGCUUCGGUUGAAAUAGGUUGCCUCCCACUACAAAAAAGAAUUGCAAUGGCUUCACCAGUUUGCAUCGGCGAGAAUUUGCCGUCGCCAUUGCUUAUGCUUUAACUUCGGCAAAACUUCGCCGUCGCAAGAAUAUAAGAAUUAUGCUACACAGUUGAUGUGCCGUCGCAAUAAGGGUGGCAAAACCUGCUACUGCAACCAAUUGCCGUCGCAUAAGGGCAUGAGACGGGAGACAGUCGCAAAGUUUUAUCUUUCUUCUACGAAACUCUGACCAACAAAAAUGUAAAAAACUUCGCUCCCUCUCACUUCCUUUAUCUUUUUCCGUCUUCUCUCUCCUUCCGUUGCCAUAACCCUUCCAUCAUCCAUAUCACCAUGACCUUGGAAUCCACCGUCAGUGUCUUUACUGUUCACUCCAUUGCCACGCACCAUCGCCAGGACGACCUCUGCCACACCUUCAUUUACCGGUUUCCUGUAUAUGAAAUUCCACAUCCAUCAUUUCGACCGGAACCUCGUGAAGAGAGAUCUCAUACUCAAUUCAAUGGGCAUUUGACUAGCCUCUCAGCUACCCGUGAAUCUACCUCGCUGAUCUAUGGUCUCUAUCUAAUCUAGGGUUUCUAAUCCAUGUUCCAGAUUUAGUUUCUUUUUUUUUCUUUCUGUUUAGGUUCUUUUUGAUUCAGGGUUGUAUGAUAAUGGUUUGAGUUUAGCUCUUUAUAUUCCAAAUUUGAUUUAAAGACUUUAUGAAUCCUGUUUCUUAUUCUUAAAUAGAGGUAUGAUUCAUUGAUUUUGACUUGGCAUGUCUAAUUGAAGCCAAGGGCUUGGGUGGCGUUUAUGAGAAAGAUGUGAGAAAGGCUCUUAAUAGCAGAUCUCAGAAGCUGAGGUGAAAAGGGUCAUUGGCAUUCUCAUGGGUGAGUUAAUAAGCAAGAUUCAAUCUUUUUCAUUGACCUAUUGUCUAAUUAGUGUUGCAAGUUUAGAACUUUGAGAUUAUAUUGGAAUGUUUCUGUUCGAUUUUUUGGGACGCGUAUCUCACUAUACUUGAAGCACAACUCAAAAACUAUGUUGUAAUUCUGAGAAGUUUGAUUUCAAAAAUAUUGAUUUGGAUCUUUUAUUGUGUAUGUAAAAUGAUACUGAAACUUUAGUGCAUUGAGGGAUACACAAAUCUCCCUUAUAUAUUACCAUGGUUCUCAAGUCUGGUAAGAUGUAUGUCUGGUGAUGUUUCAAGGAUUGCAUCAAUGGAAGUUGGGUGAAAAUCUUUGCACCUAAUCUACAAUCUAUUACUUUGUGCUCUAAUGCCAUUACUGAAAACUGUUCAAUACAGAGCUUUCCUAGGCUCGAAAGAUUUGUCAUGUGGUCUUGGAAUAGAGGUCCCAUAUUACAAAGACGAAGAUUAAUGGUGCUGUCGAUCUUCUUAUUGGUUCAUCUCAAGUUGAAGUUCUUACCAUAUCUUAUAAGUACCUACAGGUUAACUUACCUAUCUGUACAAUUUUGAUCAUGCUAGCUUCCUUCUGUCAGAAAUUUAUUUUGAACUAGGUGGUCUACCAUUCUUAUUUAUGAAACUUGAGACUUUGAGGAUUAAGAAUCCCUACUGCAGGUUGAACAGAAGAUAUAUCCCAGAUAUAGCAUGCAUGUUCAAGAGCUCUCCCUUGUUUUAGCGACUCUUUCAAAGGAAAACGAAAUUAUGUGCUUGUGAGCUAAUUAGAGCUGGAUGACAUAAAGGAAAAAGCACUUGAACAGCAGCAAUUUGAGUUCUGUAUUAUGCAUUAACAAUUUCUACGGUCAUCAUUGAAUUGUACUGAGGAUUAGCAUGAUAUGUCAAGUCAUCAUAUGCAAGAUAAGAGUCUCAAGCACUUUGUGUAGGUGUUCAUUGAGACGUGAUGGAACUUGUGGAACAUAAUCCAUUGAGGCAAUCCUAUUGGAUAUGGUUCAGGUAGAGGAUUACUCACAGCAGCCCCCUAUUCAGGAACUAAUUGGAAGGGAUCUUCAUGAUAUAUAAUGAAUGGAAAUUCAGACAUAUUUCGAGGAGGCUUGCAACAACACUGGAGUAAUUGGUACAUGAAGUAGAUCGAGGAAGAUCCUUGAAAAGUUCAUCUUGAAGUAGAGGAAAAUAACUAACUUGUAAAGCUUAAUUAUCGAUCUUGUAAAUUUUGGUAGAAGUUUCAUUCAUGAGGAAAAGUAAAGUGUAACAUUUCCUUUUAUAUAAGCUUCAUUCCUUUUUGUAUAGUUUUCAUUCAUUUUAAAAAAAAAAAAUCAAAAUUUUUUUUA
This is a long non-coding RNA of Rosa chinensis, 2284 nucleotides long. RefSeq lists it as uncharacterized. Lineage: Eukaryota; Viridiplantae; Streptophyta; Magnoliopsida; Rosales; Rosaceae. The transcript has 6 exons. The record is from RefSeq and is a predicted model, not a curated record.